CGAGUCUGGAUUUGGGGUGCUUGGGAACGAGAAGGAGUCGCCGGAGCUGCUCUUUCUCCGGCGACUAUUCAUGGUGUGGGUUCCUUUGCUGGUGAGGUUCUGCACGGAUCACUGGACGGUGAAUCCGGCGUAAGAGACUCGAACUCAAAGUCCGAGUCUGGAUUUGGGGUGCUUGGGAACGAGAAGGAGUCGCCGGAGCUGCUCUUUCUCCGGCGACUAUUCAUGGUGGCUUCGGAGUGGGUUCCUUGCUUCAUUGACCCGUGUUUGUGUUUUGGUGACUCACGACUGUACCUAUAUAUACAUACUAGUUCCUUUCAAGACUUGAGAUUAUUAUUGGUGUAAAUAACUUGGGACAUGUGGAGUGAAAGAGGCUCUUUGUUGAUAUUAAAUUAAUGGAGGGCUUUAUAAGGUUGGUGUAAAUAAUUUGAACCAUGG
This 435-nucleotide long non-coding RNA is filed under the name Arachis ipaensis. RNAcentral describes it as "long non-coding RNA (AIPA_LNC000620)". Lineage: Eukaryota; Viridiplantae; Streptophyta; Magnoliopsida; Fabales; Fabaceae. The record is from RNAcentral.